Molecule: non-coding RNA, 87 nt
Filed under: Paenibacillus sp.
Lineage: Bacteria; Bacillati; Bacillota; Bacilli; Caryophanales; Paenibacillaceae
Description: c-di-GMP sequence
Rfam family: c-di-GMP-I riboswitch aptamer
About the family: GEMM was predicted in a large-scale screen for bacterial structured RNA regulatory elements. Genes associated with GEMM are involved in a diverse array of functions, including chemotaxis regulation, signal transduction, secretion and chitin.
Source: RNAcentral
AAGCGAUAAUGGCAAACUUGCCGAAAGGCAAGGACGCAAAGCCGAGGGUCUACGGCUCGUAUGAGUUAUGAUAGCCUGGUUACCGAA